GAUGAACGCUGGCGGCGUGCCUAAUACAUGCAAGUCGAGCGAACGGACGAGAAGCUUGCUUCUCUGAUGUUAGCGGCGGACGGGUGAGUAACACGUGGAUAACCUACCUAUAAGACUGGGAUAACUUCGAGAAACCGUAGCUAAUACCGGAUAAUAUUUUGAACCGCAUGGUUCAAAAGUGAAAGACGGUCUUGCUGUCACUUAUAGAUGGAUCCGCGCUGCAUUAGCUAGUUGGUAAGGUAACGGCUUACCAAGGCAACGAUGCAUAGCCGACCUGAGAGGGGGGAGCGACACAAUGGGAGCGGAGCCGGGGCCAGGCCUCCAGGGGAAGGCGGAAGGGGGGAUUCUGCGGCAAGGGGCAAAGCCGGAGGGAGACACCCCGGCGGGGGUAAAGAGGGUUUUGGAAUCGAAAAACUUUUUUAUAGGGGAAAAAAAUUUUGGAAAGAACCUGUCCACUUUUGGGCGGACCCAAAGAAGAAAGCCACGGCAAACUACGUC
This 498-nucleotide ribosomal RNA is filed under the name uncultured bacterium. Its description in RNAcentral is "partial 16S ribosomal RNA". It matches the Rfam family "Bacterial small subunit ribosomal RNA", at positions 28 to 507 of the family's 1533-position model. The record is from RNAcentral.